Erinaceus europaeus (western European hedgehog) is the source of this 1740-nucleotide long non-coding RNA. RefSeq lists it as uncharacterized. The transcript is spliced from 6 exons. The record is from RefSeq and is a predicted model, not a curated record. Lineage: Eukaryota; Metazoa; Chordata; Mammalia; Eulipotyphla; Erinaceidae.
CAGUGGGAGAACAUAGGACUUGCAUUGUGAAAUCCUUGGUUCAAUCCCUGGCACCACCCAGAGUCAGAGCUGGGUCCUCUGGUCUCUGCUACAUAGAAAUACAAAAGUAAAUACAUUAAAAAAAUGAGAAUGAGAGAGGGGACUUCUGGAGGCAUGGCUAUGCAGUCACAGUCUCACUUCCCUCUCCCUGAUCAACUAAUAAAAGGAAUGGAAAUCACCUGAAAACUCAACAAAAUCCAAUGAGGAUGUCUUCAGAAACUCACUAAGCCAAGGAAGGAAGAAUUGACCACACUGGACCUCGGACGUGAAUCAUAUGGGGGCUAGGGAUGUCACCUCCCCCCUCUGUGGUCACAGAUCCAUGGAGAGCUCUGAGAUUUGCCGUGUGUCCUCUGCUGCAGUCUGCUGUGGGCUGGAAGCCUCACCAAGAACAUGAGUGUCACACGUUGUGUGUCUCCUGUAUCAUUCUCCUGCCACAAAGCCAGCGAGAGACAAGAAAGCCUUCCUAAGGAACAGAACACGCUCUAUUAGCCGUGUCCACAGCCAGCAGGAAUGUCCUUCAGCAGAUAAUGUGUUCUUAUUGGGGGAAAAAAGUCCAAAAAUCCACUUCAAAAAGCCAAAACAACCAAAGAGAAGUCAACCUGUAGACCACAUCAAAAAAGGAGGUGUACUUUCCAGAAAACCUUUAGCAAAAGGAAGAGGCAGCCUUGCUUCUGGAGUUCUUGAGGUCCAGCUCAUGGCUCACGGGUGAUGCCACAUGAAGGCUUGACAGUCCUAAGAGAUGAGGCCUCAAGUAUUCUUACUUCUCAUGGAAAUAGAAAACAAACAGGCGAUGAUGUGAGCUGAGGCUGUGUCAUGGUGCCCCUGGCUGAGUGGAGACCAAGAGCUUGAACCCAGAUCCUUGAGCACUGUGACAUCUGCACACUGGGAGAUGUCCCACUGCCUGGCCCCACUUGAGGUAUUUAGAGAGAGAGCUUCCCCUGGUGCUAUGGAACCUCCCAUGUAGUGCAGGGGCUCAAAUGCUGGCCAUGCACACAGCAAGGCAUGCUGUCACCAGCCACCAAGUCGCAGAUACUACUCUGAUUUCAUCCUGACUUCCCUGGGCAGACAACCUCCCUAAUGUUUCAUGGAACCUCAAUUCUUCAGAGCCCUGCCCCACUAGGGAAAGAGAGAAACAGAUUGGGGGUAUGGAUCAACCUGCCAACACCCAUGUCCAGCAGAGAAGCAGUUACAGAAGUCAGAACUCCCUCCUGCACUCCAAAAAGAAUUGUGGCCCAUACUCCCAGAGGAGUAAACAGUAGUAAAGUUUCCAAUGGAGGGGAUGAGACAUGGAAUGCUGGUGGUGGUGGGAACUGUAUGGAAUUAUAACCCUAUUAUCUUGCAAUUUGUAAAUCCAUAUUGAAUCAAUAAUAAUAAUAAUAAUAAGAAGAAGAAGAAGAAGAAGAAGAAGAAGAACCCUUUAAAGUAGUUCUUUGACAAAACAUUGAUUUCAUGGGAGGGCAUCUGAAGGCUGGAAAGAGUUGACCCUUCAAAAAGCGAUUUGUGGGGGUCAGGCAGUGAGUGGCACACCUGGUUGAGCACACACAUGACCAUGUGCAAGGACCCAGGUUCAAGCCCCAGUUUCCACCUGCACGGAGAAGUUUCCUGAGCAGUGAGGCAAUGCUGUGGGUGUUUCUCCCUCUCCAUCUCCCCUCUCUCUAUCUCCUAAAUAAAUGUAAUAAAAAAUAAUUUUAAAAAAUGCUA